Long non-coding RNA from Rosa rugosa (rugosa rose), 1418 nucleotides. RefSeq lists it as uncharacterized. The record is from RefSeq and is a predicted model, not a curated record. The transcript is spliced from 2 exons. Lineage: Eukaryota; Viridiplantae; Streptophyta; Magnoliopsida; Rosales; Rosaceae.
AUUCAGUCACCGUCUACAAACUAUGCUGUCAAGGCCAAUUUGAUACCCAAACUCUCAAAAGUAUAAAUGUGAUACCCAAAGACAUAUUUUGACAUCAACGUGAUACUUCCGUCCAAAAUUCGUGACGGUUCCGUUAAAAAAGUGACGUGGCAAGCAUGUGACUAGAUUUUUAAGGGCAAAGUCGUACUUUUACACCAAUUUUGUUUAUGUAUAUACACACACACACACACACAUACAUACAUACAUAUUUUAAAAAAAAAUAUGCUUUUCAUCUUCAACUUAGACCAGACAAGCCGCCAUCACCGCUGAUGUCGACGCCGCCGCCGCUCCGACGAGGAGGAGCAAGAGGCUUCACCACCCCAAGAAAUUUGAGUUUCUCAGCUGGGGCUUGAAGCCGCUGAUUGUAUUUCUCGAGUCGAUUGGGAAAGACACGACGAAGCAGAUCUCCCAAUAUGAUGUCGCUACGAUUAUCACCGACUACGUCAACCACUGCAGGCUUCUCCACCCGAUGAAGAAGAAGAGGAUCGUCUGCGACCAUAGCUCGGAUCAACGGCAGGCUUCUCCACGGCAGGAAAACCAUUGCUCGGAUCAAGAUCUACGAUUUGCUCCAGCCGCAUUUCGCUGAUAAUCUCGAGGAUGAUUACGAUGAUUCGUCGAAUGAGUCCGACGACGACGGUUUGGAAGAAGAGGAGGAGGAUAAGUGGCGGCAGCAGCAAAGGAAGAAGCUGAAGAGGAGAGUCGCCGCUCUACAUGCGCCUUUUCCGGUUCCGAAAAGCUGCUACGCCGCCGUGAUUCCGGAGAAUUUGAAGUUGGUGUACCUGGGAAGGUCGGUGGUGGAAGCUCUGCUCAAGCAGGACGAGGCUCAAGUGUUUGAGAACAAACUUGUGGGGAGCUUUGUGAGGACAAAAUCCUCUUCAACUUCAUGGGGUUGUUACAUACUUCCUCAUUUCCAUGCUCUCUAAUGAUAACUUCUUCCCGGUCUUGCUGCUGCUUGCUAUUCAAACCCAAGACUAAAACCUUCAAGCAAUCUUCCCCGGAGGUUAUCAAUGCUUGGAAACUGAAUUGGGUCGGAGAGUUCUUGCAAGAAGGCGUUGUAUCUUUUUACUCCGUUUGACUCCGGCGGCUACCUCUUUGGCUCUUUCGACUUUCGAUCUUGAGCUUGCGCUAAUCUUGAAACUAUUUAGGAGAGUAGGAGACUUAUCUGUCUACAUUCUCAGUUAGGAGCCCAACUUCGCCUCUAUUUCAGGGUGUUUUCGAAUCUAGGCAGCCCCUUUAGGUGCCCAAGACCACCUCUUCAUGGGCAUAAGAGGAGCUAGGGUAGUAGUAAAGUAGGCUUAAGCAUCAUCGACUCUCCUGAUGAUGAUGAUGUCAAGUUUUCUGGGAAAGUGCCCAGAUCAUCAAAGAAGAAGAAGAAGAAG